RNAcentral lists this long non-coding RNA (2587 nucleotides) under Capsicum annuum. RNAcentral describes it as "long non-coding RNA (CANN_LNC019862)". Lineage: Eukaryota; Viridiplantae; Streptophyta; Magnoliopsida; Solanales; Solanaceae. The record is from RNAcentral.
GAAAAGUUUUUUUUUUUUUUUUUAAAUAAUGAAUCAUCAAAUGCACAAGAUUUAAUCUUGAAUAAACAUCAAUUGUGAGGAGUAAACAUUGGAAAACAAAAUCAAUAUGUCCAAAAAAAAAUCACGAAAAAGAUCAAGCAGCCAUGAAAACAAACAUACAUAGAUUGCCGGAGAGAAAUUCAAGCAAAAUCAACCCGAAAAUAAUAAAAUAAUGUAAAAAUUAUCCAAAAUAACAAUAGCGAUACUUCAAAUUUAUUUCCACAAAACACACAAAAUAAUGGUAAAGCGAAAAGAAGAAGAAUUCACCGGGGUUUAAGUUUUUCCGGUAACUUGGUCAUGGUUUCCGGCAAAAUCUGAAAAUAAACAGAAAAAAAUAAUCGCAGUCAAAAGGGAAUAGAUCACGCUUCAAAGGAUUUCACCGGAGCAACACCGAAGAGGUAUUUUCGGCCAGAUCUACCCGUUUUUCGGCGAGCAGUGACGGUAGUAGCAGUGUUGCGUUGAACCUCGAAUCUCGCCGGUCACAACCUCCAGCGAGGCAGCGGCGGGAGAUGACAGAAAGAGAGGAAGCUGGGGCGGCAGAUGGUUUUUGUUGGUGGCUGAAACUCGUCGGCCAUCAACUCCGGCAAGCCACGAAGAAAGUAAAUUAAUGGGGAAUUUGCAACCGGCGGUGAGAAAAAGGGAAAGGAGGUGGCGCUGGUUGGUGGCUGGAAAGAGAGGAGAGCAGAUGAGAGGGAGAGAGAGAAGCAGAUUUUAUGCGCGUAUUUGUGCGAACUCGAAAAUAAGUCACAAAAUUAAAAAAAAUUAUUAAAAUAGGUCAUUUAUUUAAAAAAUUAUCAAAAUAUACAAAUAUAAUAAAUUAUUAUUUUAUUUUUUUAAUAGUCAACAUAAUUUAUAAAAUAUAAUAAUUUAUUAUAUCAAAUGAUAUAGUUUAUAAUAAUUUAUUACAUUUUAUAAACAAUGUUUGUAAAACAUAAUAAUUUAUUACAAACUACAAACAAUGUUUGUAAGUUAUAAUAAAUUAUUACAACUUACAUCUUUAUAUCUACCCACAUCACAUCAUUUUUACUUUUUCCAUUUUUAAAUUUAACCCAACCCAACCCACCCCACAUAGAAUCCUCCCACCCCACCCUACAUAAAAUCCUUCCACCCCACCUAUUAAUAAUUUUACAAAUUAGAACCUUAUUAUUACAAUUCAAAAAUUGUAACUAUUUAUUACAUUUUUAAUUCAAAAAAAAAAUUAAAAAAUUAUUGUUUCAUUUUGUUAAUUCAAGUACUACUUAACCCACUUUUUUGACUUUUUCUCAUAAAUAGUACUAAAAAAUUACUUUUUAUAAAUAAAUUUUAAAAAAAAAAAACAUAAAGAUUUCAUCAUUGCCCAAAGUUAUUUAUUGUAUUACACAUUUGUAUACAUAAUAUCCGUCUUUUUAUUUGCGGAGCCCUCGAAAAUCAACGAAAAAUUUCUUCAUCAGCCAAUUAAAUUAAUACUGAAUAUAGAUCAAAUACGAGUAAUUAAAUAAAAAAAAUAAAAGAUAAAAAUAAAAUAUGUCUUAUGUCUUUUGUCCUGGGGAGAUAUCAAAGAUUAACCGAGAAGUUUUACCAUUAUUCAAUUAAUUUAUUAAUAUCCUAGAAUAAAAUAAAAUCGAAACAUUCAAUUGAAAUUGUCUAACUUGGACCCAAAUUAAAAAAUGCAAUUUCUAAAAAAUAAACAAAUUGUAACAGUGAAUCAAAACCAGUAUAAAACAAAGCAACAAUGAACAAAGAUUACUAAAUAAUCAUAUGGAGUCACUGAAAAGUUUUUUUUUUUUUUUUUAAAUAAUGAAUCAUCAAAUGCACAAGAUUUAAUCUUGAAUAAACAUCAAUUGUGAGGAGUAAACAUUGGAAAACAAAAUCAAUAUGUCCAAAAAAAAAUCACGAAAAAGAUCAAGCAGCCAUGAAAACAAACAUACAUAGAUUGCCGGAGAGAAAUUCAAGCAAAAUCAACCCGAAAAUAAUAAAAUAAUGUAAAAAUUAUCCAAAAUAACAAUAGCGAUACUUCAAAUUUAUUUCCACAAAACACACAAAAUAAUGGUAAAGCGAAAAGAAGAAGAAUUCACCGGGGUUUAAGUUUUUCCGGUAACUUGGUCAUGGUUUCCGGCAAAAUCUGAAAAUAAACAGAAAAAAAUAAUCGCAGUCAAAAGGGAAUAGAUCACGCUUCAAAGGAUUUCACCGGAGCAACACCGAAGAGGUAUUUUCGGCCAGAUCUACCCGUUUUUCGGCGAGCAGUGACGGUAGUAGCAGUGUUGCGUUGAACCUCGAAUCUCGCCGGUCACAACCUCCAGCGAGGCAGCGGCGGGAGAUGACAGAAAGAGAGGAAGCUGGGGCGGCAGAUGGUUUUUGUUGGUGGCUGAAACUCGUCGGCCAUCAACUCCGGCAAGCCACGAAGAAAGUAAAUUAAUGGGGAAUUUGCAACCGGCGGUGAGAAAAAGGGAAAGGAGGUGGCGCUGGUUGGUGGCUGGAAAGAGAGGAGAGCAGAUGAGAGGGAGAGAGAGAAGCAGAUUUUAUGCGCGUAUUUGUGCGAACUCGAAAAUAAGUCACAAAAUUAAAAAAA